CAUACUUUGUUUUGGUCGGCGAUUAAAGAUGGCCGAAGUGGUAGCAAUCCGCGAUCGCGAUUUUUUUCGUACGGAUUUAUCAUCUUGAAAUCUCCGGAAUUCUUAUUUAAAAUUGUGAAAAGUAGUGCUUUUAUAUCUUAAAAAUGCAAUAGUUGUCCGUAACCAGUGUAUUUGUAGUUUGGUGAAACUAAAAUGUGAGAAAAAUCAGCGCGGAACAAACCCUCCCGCAAAUUUGCAAUUUCUUCAAGUGGCCGCAACAGGAAAGUCCUGCCAAGCAGUGCGAUAGGUUCUUGAGACAAACAUCGUCAACCAGCGAAUCCUGAUGCCAAUCCUCGGAAUCCGGAAAGAGGAUCGCCGAAGCAAUCGUUCACACCAUUCAAAGCUCGCUCCCGGUGGCUUCCUUCUUGGUGUUGGAAAGAGGAUCCGGUGUUUCUUCCGAAUGGUUCCGGACAGUAGGGAUACUCAUCAUAUGGACCCAAUUAAUCUAGCUAAGGGUGGAAAAAACAACUCCUGUAUCCAUCAACCGGUACCAGUUCAGCCGAAGGGUACUCUGUAACGGAGUGGAGCAUGAAACGCGGGAGUGCUCCAUUUAGUAUUGGACCGUCGACUACGGUGAAACGGGUCGGUAUGGGUCUUCAUACUUUUAUUUUGUCUGGAUGUGUUCACUGCGGAUCCUCAGAUUCAUCACCGGAUGCGUCCAAGCCAUUCUGUUCCAUAUUUCAAAUAUUUUUUUAGUGAAAUUAAAAAAAAUGUUAUAAAUGAUUUAUAAAUAAUGCAAUAAAAAAUGAAAUUGA
This is a long non-coding RNA of Aedes aegypti (yellow fever mosquito), 794 nucleotides long. RefSeq lists it as uncharacterized. The transcript has 2 exons. The record is from RefSeq and is a predicted model, not a curated record. Lineage: Eukaryota; Metazoa; Arthropoda; Insecta; Diptera; Culicidae.